AUAUCGCGCAAUGGAGGAAGCUCUGACGCAGCGACUCCGCGUUAGCGAUGAAGGUUUUCGGAUCGUAAAGCUCUAUCCUCAUGGAAGAAUAAAGUGAUCGUACCUCAGGAGUAAGCCCCGGCUGACGACGUGCCAGCAGCGGCGGUAAUACGUAGGGGGCGUGCGUUGUCCGGAAUUAUUGGGCGUAAAGGGUUCGCAGGCGGUCUUUUAAGUCAGAUGUUAAAUGCAUAGGCUUAACCUAUGAGUGAAUUUGACACUGGAAAACUUGAGUUAAGGAGAGGAAAGUGGAAUUACUAGUGUAGAGGUGAAAUGCGUAGAUAAUAGGAGGAAUACCAGUGGCGAAGGCGACUUUCUGGACUUUUACUGACGCUGAGAACCGAAAGCAUGGGGAACAAAC
RNAcentral lists this ribosomal RNA (397 nucleotides) under uncultured bacterium. Its description in RNAcentral is "partial 16S ribosomal RNA". It matches the Rfam family "Bacterial small subunit ribosomal RNA", at positions 361 to 773 of the family's 1533-position model. The record is from RNAcentral.